RNAcentral lists this long non-coding RNA (5194 nucleotides) under Sus scrofa (pig). RNAcentral describes it as "lncRNA (ENSSSCG00060022407.1)". Lineage: Eukaryota; Metazoa; Chordata; Mammalia; Artiodactyla; Suidae. The record is from RNAcentral.
CCACACCCACGGCAUGCAGAAGUUCCUGGGCUAAGGACUGAACCUGCGCCACAGCAGCAACCCAGGCCACUGCGGUGACAAUGCCAGCUCCUUAACCCCCUGUGCCAGAAGGGAACUUCACCACUAAAGCAGUUUUACCUUUACAAAUGAUCAUCACAGUUCUUUUAAUUUUUCUCCAACGGUCUUCUUUGCCAAGCUUCUAGGCAGGCUCUAGAAAUGGCCUGUCAAAUAUCCUGCUGAUGUCGGAAGAAUGGUUAAAAUGCUGGUGUGACUAGCUUUGCUGUUGCAGGCCUGGAAAAAGACUUACGGUUUAUUUGGAAAGGUCUGAGAGGAGGCUGUAAUCCUUUCAUGGCUUUAUUGUGGGACCUCUUUAGCUUUCCCACAAAUCCCUCAGGCUGGCAAAGACGGCCACGGCCAGGUCGGUUUUACUAUCCUGUCUGUCCUCACAUGUGGCAUUCUCACUCUGCCUUUUUCUGCUCACAGUGUUUACAAGUACUGGCUAGAGCCCAUUCCACGGGAAAGAGGUCCCGCGAGUAAGGGGCAGGCAGUGAAAGUUGCAGAUCUAACAACAUUUGGCAUCUUCCGGGAGAAUGCAGGCCCCCUGAGGACAGAGACCACACCUACCUGCUCACCUGUGUCCCCAGCGCCUGGCAUGCUGCCUGGCACACGGCAAGUGCCCAAUAUCUUUAUAGAAUGAAUAAAUGAAUGAAUGUACCCUAGGUGCCAAACACGUCCACGCGCAAAAUACUGGAGAUCUUUUUUUUUUUCCUGUGUGUGAAAACGGAGAGCCCGCAGCCCUUAUCAGUCAGCAAGGCCUCAGCCCCAGACCUCUGCACCCCACUGCAGUCCCUUGCAACCCACUGCUUCCCAUAAGACACCUCCCUUCCUCAAGCCACCUUGCUUUACCGUUGCUAUUCUCUCGCCCAAGUUCAACUUGUCUGGACCGAGUCUGGACCACAGUGCUGCCAUGAUCAGGAACUCUCCUUCCCACAGUUAAGUAACCCACAUGCAUUGCUAUCGCUCUAAAGUUUGCUGCACCCAGGAUCUUCCCUUCUGCUCUUAAGGUCUGCAGCCACUUCAGGGAGAUUCUGCGUGUCUCCCAGAAGCUUUUCUUUGAGUAAAUUAUUGUUGAGAUAUUAGAAACGCUGGCUGCCGCCGAGCCACCACCUGCCAGCAGUGGGCUUCACAACCCAGGGGUCUGGCAUAGCAGCUCGUGGGAGACCCCUGGUUGGGGUGGAAGCCCAUCUAGUUUUAGGCUCCCCAGCAUACCCACAUCAAGCUGCACUCUGGUUCCAAAUUCAGUGCACCCUGAGUUUCUCCCUCCAGCCCACGGCCAUGGGCUCCUGGACAUUGCUGGCCUAAGGGCCCCAGGGAACGGGAGGACAGGGCUCUGUUUGGGUCACCCUCCAGCCCCAGCCCCAGGAUGCAGCGCCUCAAGGUGCAGGCUCUCCCCCUGCCCGCAGCCAGAGCCAGAAAGACAAAGACAAAUACCAGAAGAAACAUUUUAAAGGGAAGAUUCAAGGGCAGGAGGAGGCUUGGAAUCCAGAAGCAGUAGGCUGUCCUGAGUUCAGAUCACCACCUAUACUUUCCAGAUCCAGCGAGGGUCUCUCAUUCCAAAUCCAACUCCACCCGGAAGGUCACGGCCUCCUCCUGGGUGACCGCGGGUCCCCGUACGGCCCCUCCUGGCUGCACUAGGGGGCGCUACAGAGCAGGCGCUAACACAGAUCGGAUGCGCGUGCCUUUGUGUUUUCAAAAGCCCCGGGCAAUUUCAAUACGGAGCAAAGGUGACCAGCCAGCAGUGAGACUUGUUCUGCGCGUCUCUGGGCCGCUCUUUCCAAACUCCCAGGGGAGGAUGUGACUCGCCCAGUCAGGCCGGGGAUUCGCUCCGGUUCAAUGAGCUUCGGCCACGGUGGAGCCGGGGGUAACUCAGCCCCGGGGACAAAGACGUGGAGGAGGAGGCAGUAGCGGCCCAGGACAUCAAGAUUCUGUGGUCACAGGGCACAGGCAAAGCCCUGGCCUGAGUGGACAGAGUACUUUGUGUCACUGGCACGGGUCCCAUCACGCUGUCUCUGCCUUUCAGGACAAAGGGAGGGGACUUGGUCCCCAGGCUUCGAGGCCGGCUAAGCAAGGCCAGGUGGCAGCAGGCACGAAUCCGGGGAGGUGGAGGUGGAAGCGAACAGCUGCGAAAUGAGGUUUCACGGAGGCAGCUUCUUGUUUGUCCAUCAGAAUGAGUAACUGCGAGCCAACUGGGGCGUCACAUUUUUCCAUCCAGAUUUGGGGGAGGGGUGGAGGUGGGGGGCGCUGACCAGGGGAAGUCCAUCCUCCAGGAGCCCCUGCGCCUGCCUGCCUUCCUCCAGGCCGCUCCUCCCACUCCCCAGCCUCGCCGAGGCCUCCUACUCCUGCUGCCAGGGGGGCGAGCGGGAACUCGGCACCCCGUGACUGUGACCGGCCUUGGCCCAACCGCAAGAGGUUUCUAUUUCCUGCUCCUCCAACUCAAAGUCAGAUCCUCCUGGGCCGUGGGUCCUAAAAUAAUUAGGAACUUCAGGAACAGCCCAGGGCGGGGGUGGAAGCCAGCAGCCUCUUUGUUUUUCGGUUCUGCUAGGACUUGUCUUCCCUUUGAAUAGUCUUCUCCUGGCCGCCCUGGCAACCAUGUCUCUAUACUUCUGCCCACUGGGUAAUGUAUGGAUGGGCUUUGAGUGAGGUUCCUCGGUUUGGUUUUUACAUCUCUGGAAGAGCGAAGGGGGUUAUUUUGCUAUGCCAAGAAAGAGGACUUACUUGAGACUUCGGAGGCCUUAAGACAAGUCCCAGAACUGCCAAUUACUGGUUUUGUAACCUCAGGCAAAUGACUUUAGUCACUUCCCUCCCCCGUUCUCCCGUGGCUAUGUUUAUAUUUCUGUUAUUACAUGCAUCAUGUUUCCCUGUUCCCUAGGAGAUGGUGAGCUUCUCAAGACUAAGCUUUUAUCUGUCUGGGUAACAACCACAGCGCUGGACACAGUGCCUGAUAUAGCAGAUGUCCAGAAAAUAUUACAGUUUACCCUCUCGAAGUCUAUAACGUUGAGAUAAUUAUACCAAAUUAUAAACAUUAAAUGAGGCAAGUCAUGUGAUUUAAAAACCAUAAAGAAUAAUAGCACGUAUGUCCAAACGUUGUAACAAUGUCAUUAUAAAAAUUUGUAUAGCUUUCUAAAAAUAUGGUUUUAUUAAAUUAUUCUCUUUUAUUGAAGUACAGUUGAUUUACAACUAUUAAGUUGUUCUUACUUCAACAUAAAGAACAGACUUGUGGUUGCCAAGGGGGAGGGGGUGAGGAGUGGGAUGGACUGGGAGUUUGGGGUGCGUUGUUUGGGGUCAGUAGAUCACAUUUCAAAUGGAUGGGCAGAGUUCCCCUCGUGGUGCAGCAGAAACGAAUCCAACUAGUAACCAUGAGCUUGCAGUUUCAAUCCCCGGCCUUGCUCAGUGGGUUAAGGAUCUGGCGUUGCUGCGGCUGUGGUGUAGACCAGCAGCUACAGCUCCCUUUCGACUCCUAGCCUGAGAACCUCCACAUGCCACAGGUGCAGCCCUAAAAAGCAAAAUAAUAAUAAUAAUAAUAAUAAAGUGGAUGGGCAAGGAGGUCCUACUGUUCCUGGGAUAGAAUGUGAUGGGGGGAUGUCCAGUCUCCUAGGAUAGAACAUGAUGGGGGAUGAUAUGAGAAAAAAAUGUGUAUUUACGUAUGGCUGGGUCACUUUGCUGUACAGCAGAAAAUGGCACAACGUUGUAAAUCAACUCUAAUAAGAACAUUAUUCUCACUUCAUCUUUGAAAAUAUGGUUAAGAGAUUUGUGAAGAAAAGCUAAGACUUGAUUCGCACUGAUUUUCUUAAUCACAUGACUUAUUCUGUUUCUAGCAUAAGCCUCUGUUCUCACCUGUGGGUUUUUUAUUAUUAUUAUUAUUAUUCAAGUAGUUAACAUUGUUUAAUGGUUGAUAUACCUUGUAUAAAGGAGGAUAACUCUAAACCAGAGUUUCUCAACAUCCGCACGACUGACAUUUGGGGCCAAAUAAUUCUUUGUUGGGAGCUGUCCUGUCCCUUGUAGGAUACUUAACGGCAUCUCUGCCCGCCUCUACCCGGGAGAUUCGGGUCUCACCCUCCCCCCACCAAGCUGUGACAACCUCCAAUGGCAAAGGCCCCCUGGAAGGAGGUCAGGUGCAAAGACGCCUCCCUCCCUUCCCUGCUGAGCACCACCGCUCUGACGUCUUGACUUAUCUUUUUUUCUCUUGCAUCUUUAAUGAUUAACUUUCUCCAUAUUUGAGAUGUAUGAACUCAGGUCUCUUAAGUGCUGCAGAAAAAAGACCAGACCCAAAGCAUUUUUCACUGACGCGGAUUUGAAGGUACUCAUAUCCUUCAACCUGCUUGACUGGUCCAAGAGAAAUUCCCAGCUUGCCAGAGAAAGUCCCUCUUCCUCCUUCCUUCUCUUCCAUACUCAGGGCUGGUACAGCCUCACUGUCAAUCCCUUACAUCCAGUCCCUGAAGAUCAAGCCAACAGUUCUAUCACCGUUUCUAGUAGGCUUCUUACCCCUAGGACCAGGGUGGCCUGACUUCUUAGAGUUCCCCGAGUCAACAUAAUCAAGACCCCUCGGAGACACUCACUGCACUAGAGGGACCCCAGGUCUAGAGCAUGUGUACCUUUGGGGGGGUCACUUUAUGUUACCACCAAGAACAAGCGUCUCCUAGGUGAACCAUACCUCUAUUCCUUUUUCCGCAGGUGACUUUGUAUCUCACCUCCCCCCCUUCCACUGGAUCUAUGUCUUCGUGGACUUACCCCCCAUUCACAGGCAACGACUUAGCUUUUCCAUCCCCCCGAUGGCUGGGGGUGGGGGGGACAGUGUCACAGUCCUGUCGCUGCACACAAGAUGCCUCCUGUCCUCCCAUCUCCGGUCUACCCUCCUUUGAAGAGCACAGCCCGUGGUUUGGCCUGACAUUCAUUUUCUCCAAAGUGCAAAAGCUGCUAUGAAUAGUCUCCACUUGGGUGUUCCCUUCAUGGCUCAGCAGUUAGCACACCUGAUUAGGAUCCAGGAGGAUGCGGAUUCAAUCCUUGGCCUUGCUCAGUGGGUUAAGGAUCUGGCUUUGCUGUAACUGUGGUGUAGGCCGGCAGCAAUAGCUCCGAUUUGACCCCUAGCCUGGGAACUUCCAUAUGUCUCAGGUGCGGCCCUAAAAAGAAAGAAAAA